This 408-nucleotide ribosomal RNA is filed under the name uncultured bacterium. RNAcentral's name for it is "bacterial SSU rRNA". It matches the Rfam family "Bacterial small subunit ribosomal RNA", at positions 355 to 776 of the family's 1533-position model. The record is from RNAcentral.
UCGAGAAUCUUCCACAAUGGGCGAAAGCCUGAUGGAGCGACGUCGCGUGCGGGAUGACGGUCUUCGGAUUGUAAACCGCUUUUCUCAAAGAGGAAUUUAAUGACUGUAUUUGAGGAAUAAGGGGUGGCUAACUCUGUGCCAGCAGCAGCGGUAAUACAGAGACCCCGAGCGUUAUCCGGAUUUAUUGGGCGUAAAGAGUCUUAAGGCGGUAUGUAAAGUCCUUGAUAAAAGUUCUGGGGCUUAACUUCAGAAAUGUUAAGGAUACUUGCAUACUAGAGGGAGUCAGGGGUUAGCGGAACGCACGGUGUAGGGGUGAAAUCCGUUGAUAUCGUGCGGAACACCAAAAGCGAAGGCAGCUAACUGGGGCUUUUCUGACGCUGAAUGACGAAAGCGUGGGGAUCAAAAAGG